AGGACAAGGCAGUGGGCUGACUGCCACAAGCUCUGGCCAGGUGAAUGUGACAUCGAGGUUCAGCUGGAGUUGUCUCUGCUCAUUAAGAAGUAUUUUUCUAGAGAGGCCAGACUUAGAUGCAGCGCUCAGCCUCAGAGAUAGUGUGGCUGCGGUUGCGGCAAGCAAUGUCUCAGAAGCCCAGAGGGUAAACACACGCAUGGUGCUGUUCCUGGGACCAUAUGCUUUCUCUUCAUUGGUAAGAUCCGCCCUGCGGGGAGUUUUGGAGAGAGGAAAUUUACCCCCAGAAUCUUCCCUGGCUGUCUUGCCAUUUCCCUGCUGAGACAAGAGAGUCCCGAGAAGACUCUUCAGACACCACAUUCUUAGCCAACGUCACAAUUGCAAGAUCUCUCACACAGAUGCAGAUUCUUCAGAGAACUUUAGUUCACACCACAGAGAGAUGAUCACAUGAAAUAAUAUGGACCAAAUAACUUACCUCUUUGAAGGCUAAGGUCAAAAGCCUUUGAGCCAAAGAGCACUCUGAGACCAUGAUAUCCAGCUCUGUGUCAAGCACUGGAUUAAUGAUACAGAUCAAUGCACCCCAUGUUGUGGGGUGCAAAAGUGUCUGUGAUGAAACAUAGUUUUCAGAUGCAAUGGGUCUGGAUGGAGCUUGGAACUCACAGUUACCACAGGUCUCAGGAGAUAGCAUGGCUGGGGCAAUGAGGAACAUGCUCUGGGAAGAAUGAUUGAAUGAUGCUACUCAAAACAUGACCACUAAAGCCUCAGGCCCUGUCCCGAUAAUCCUACCGAAUCUGAAUUCGUUGGGGUAGGGCUUAUAGACGAUGUUUUAACAAAUGCUCCAGCAAUUCUUACACUUUCCAAAGACUGAGGAGCCCUGGUAGAGUCAUCAAGUUUCACCAAGGCCAGAUGGGUUGCGUUCAGGCCAUGUGUCCUUUUCUCAGCAAUCUGAGCACCCAGGCACUCUAAGGCCUUUGUCAUUCUCGGGGCCUGUCAACUCCAUAUCAAGGGGCCUGGUUCAACUUCUCCAACAUCAACAGACAAAUGACUAACCAGGUGCCCCAAGGAAAUUCUGACACUCCCCCCAACAUGCUAUUAGGAACAGGCUGAAUCAGGCCCGAAAGAAAAUGAUGACCAGAAAAGCACAGUGCUGAUUCGAGCCAGAUUGAUGGCUAUUCUUAUUGUAAUAUUCAUGAUGAGCAGAGUCUUUGUAAUGGAUUUAGCAGAUGUGGACAACCUCCUGCCAGACUCCCUCUGUCUGAAUGGAAACUGCAAUCACCCAAUAUGUUUCCCCGUCCUCUGGCCUACGAUUGAGUUGUCACCCUUUCCCAGACACUCUCCUCCAGGCGCCCCAGAUGGUACUGGCUGACACACUCCAAGGAUGUCAUUAUGAACACGUGGAAGCCACAUGAGGGUGAGGGGAAUGGGCUUCUGGAGAUGAAAUGCCUGGCACAACCCUCACCCCCGAGGGCCUUGAGACACUGCUGGGAGGAGCAGAGGUAUCAGAAUCAGAGAGAGAGAGAUGUCCCUGAAAAUCACAAAGACUAGAAGGGAAAGCCUUCAAAUGUGUUAACUGUUGAUCUCUGGAAUUUGCAAAAUUAGACUCAUUAUACCCCAGUCUCUCCAAUCACACCACAGAGGAUCCAGACAACUGGAUGACCAGAGGUGAAUAAAAUGUCUAACCAGAAGAUGUCUCCACCUUGAAGAACGGCUCAGGUCUAGCCCUUGAUUUGGACUUCAAUUUGGACUCGAAGUUAACACAAAUGAGCAAGCAUUCUUGUUUGUGGUUCCAGCACCGCAAAAUUCGACUUCUUCUCAAGGGAAGGUGGCCAUGAGAGAAAAGCCCUUUAGAGGUUUAGUCCCAACGGAUCAGAAGAAAACGCAUGUGCUAACAGAGUAAAGGAGAAAGUACCACAAUGUUUGUGUUUCAUGACUUUGGAUGGGAGUCAGAUGUGAUGUGUGUAAACAUUUCCACAUCCCCAAAAGACAGAAGGUGUGGCGGCUCUCUGGAGAGAGGGUAUUUAUCCAUCCAAUCUCAGCAGCUCCUGUCUCACCUGA
This is a long non-coding RNA of Peromyscus leucopus (white-footed mouse), 2052 nucleotides long. RefSeq lists it as uncharacterized. The transcript is spliced from 3 exons. Lineage: Eukaryota; Metazoa; Chordata; Mammalia; Rodentia; Cricetidae. The record is from RefSeq and is a predicted model, not a curated record.